RNAcentral lists this ribosomal RNA (492 nucleotides) under uncultured bacterium. RNAcentral describes it as "partial 16S ribosomal RNA". It matches the Rfam family "Bacterial small subunit ribosomal RNA", at positions 29 to 507 of the family's 1533-position model. The record is from RNAcentral.
AGUGAACGCUGGCGGUAGGCCUAACACAUGCAAGUCGAACGGCAGCACAGUAAGAGCUUGCUCUUACGAGUGGCGAGUGGCGGACGGGUGAGGAAUACAUCGGAAUCUACUUUUUCGUGGGGGAUAACGUAGGGAAACUUACGCUAAUACCGCAUACGACCUACGGGUGAAAGCAGGGGAUCUUCGGACCUUGCGCGAUUGAAUGAGCCGAUGUCGGAUUAGCUAGUUGGCGGGGUAAAGGCCCACCAAGGCGACGAUCCGUAGCUGGUCUGAGAGGAUGAUCAGCCACACUGGAACUGAGACACGGUCCAGACUCCUACGGGAGGCAGCAGUGGGGAAUAUUGGACAAUGGGCGCGAGCCUGAUCCAGCCAUACCGCGUGGGUGAAGAAGGCCUUCGGGUUGUAAAGCCCUUUUGUUGGGAAAGAAAAGCAGCAGGUUAAUACCCCGCUGUUCUGACGGUACCCAAAGAAUAAGCACCGGCUAACUUCGUG